GGACAGGUGUCCGAGUGGUUUAAGGAACUGGUCUUGAAAACCAGCGUGCGGGUAACCGUACCGUGAGUUCGAAUCUCACCCUGUCCGCCA
Molecule: transfer RNA, 90 nt
Filed under: Pseudomonadota bacterium
Lineage: Bacteria; Pseudomonadati; Pseudomonadota
Also listed under: 1 other name
Description: Proteobacteria bacterium tRNA-Ser
Rfam family: tRNA
About the family: Transfer RNA (tRNA) molecules are approximately 80 nucleotides in length. Their secondary structure includes four short double-helical elements and three loops (D, anti-codon, and T loops). Further hydrogen bonds mediate the characteristic L-shaped molecular structure. tRNAs have two regions of fundamental functional importance: the anti-codon, which is responsible for specific mRNA codon recognition, and the 3' end, to which the tRNAs corresponding amino acid is attached (by aminoacyl-tRNA synthetases). tRNAs cope with the degeneracy of the genetic code in two manners: having more than one tRNA (with a specific anti-codon) for a particular amino acid; and 'wobble' base-pairing, i.e. permitting non-standard base-pairing at the 3rd anti-codon position.
Source: RNAcentral